RNAcentral lists this transfer RNA (72 nucleotides) under Camelus bactrianus (Bactrian camel). It matches the Rfam family "tRNA". From Rfam's summary of the family: Transfer RNA (tRNA) molecules are approximately 80 nucleotides in length. Their secondary structure includes four short double-helical elements and three loops (D, anti-codon, and T loops). Further hydrogen bonds mediate the characteristic L-shaped molecular structure. tRNAs have two regions of fundamental functional importance: the anti-codon, which is responsible for specific mRNA codon recognition, and the 3' end, to which the tRNAs corresponding amino acid is attached (by aminoacyl-tRNA synthetases). tRNAs cope with the degeneracy of the genetic code in two manners: having more than one tRNA (with a specific anti-codon) for a particular amino acid; and 'wobble' base-pairing, i.e. permitting non-standard base-pairing at the 3rd anti-codon position. RNAcentral also lists the same sequence under 2 other names. The record is from Rfam by way of RNAcentral. Lineage: Eukaryota; Metazoa; Chordata; Mammalia; Artiodactyla; Camelidae.
GAGGGUAUAGCUCAGUGGCAAAGUGCAUGUCUAGCAUGCACGAGGUCCUGAGUUCAAUCCCCAGUACCUCCG